RNAcentral lists this long non-coding RNA (1895 nucleotides) under Cricetulus griseus (Chinese hamster). RNAcentral's name for it is "lncRNA (ENSCGRG00015042043.1)". The record is from RNAcentral. Lineage: Eukaryota; Metazoa; Chordata; Mammalia; Rodentia; Cricetidae.
UCGCAAAUAUUGAACUUCAGAGCACCCGGGAAUUUUUGCAAACACACACACACACACACACACACACACACACGGGCAGAAGUAGAAAGCUGGGGAAGAUGUGGUUGUGCAGGAGCACAUGUGAAAAGGAGCUUAGCAGCCCAGAUGCCAGGGGGACCGGCGUGAGUCAGCUGGAGGAUGUGGGCGCCAACAACCUCGGGCAGGCCUGGACCAAGCAGAGCAUCCAGAAAAAGAAGGGUGCGGACUGGCUCUGCCUUAGCAGUGGUCAGACCACCCUGGAGGGCUGGCUCUGUCUGAAGGCCCAUCAUGUGACAGGAAAGGGUGUAUUCCGAGGACAGCUACAAAGAAGCUGGGAGGAGGAGAAGCACUGAGGAGUUAGCAAAGCCUGGUGUGAUAGCACACCCUUGGGAGACUGAGGCAGGAAGAUCAAUAGUUCGAGGCUAGCCUGAGGCUACGCGGUGAGACCCUAUCUCAAUAUAAACAGUGAAAAAAGAGGGCUGGGAACAUAGCUCAGUGGGAAGGUGCUCACCUAGCAUGUGCAAGGCCCCAGCUUCAAACCUCAGUAUUGGAAGAAAAGAAAAAGUUGGAGAAAAGAAAGAGAGCAUGGGCCGGGCGUUGGUGGCGCCCACCUUUAAUCCCAGCACUCGGGAGGCAGAGGCAGGAGGAUCUCUGUGAGUUCGAGGCCAGCCUGGUCUCCAGAGCGAGUGCCAGGAUAGGCUCCAAAGCUACACAGAGAAACCCCGUCUUGAAAAACCAAAAAAAAAAAAAAAAAAAAAAAAAAAAAAGAAAGAAAAAGAAAGAGAGCAUGGCCUACAGAAGGGCUUGAGUCAGGGUGGGCUUGUGCCUAGAAGUCCUCUGCCUCAUGUCACCCCGGUGAAGUCUUAUCUGUCCUUUGUAGCCUCCCCCUCUUCUAGAAGCCUUCCUUCACCUCUCUGCAGAACCAACCCCACUUCCCCAGGAACCCCUCCUCCUGGCAUCCUGGAAUCAGCCCCUGCAGGACAGCACCUGGGGCAAGGAGCCAUGUUUUAAGGGUGUAUCUGAGUAGGCAUCCCUGUUUGAUCAUCCCUAGUGCUUGCUCAGGUGAUUGUUCUUCAGCAGUAUCUGAUGAGCGGAAUGAGUUGCAUGAAAACUGUCAUGAUUUUGACCACGGGAAGACACUGUUCUUUCCAUGUGGCUUUGGAAAGACGGAAGUGGAAGAGAGGGCGGAUAUGACAAGACAGCGGACUUCAGCUAAAAUCAGGAAGUGUUUAUAACAAUAGUGACGACAGCUUCAUUAUGUCUUACUCGUGCAAUGCUACAUGAUAAGCAACUCCAAACAGCCCAGAGCAGUAGCAAGAAGCCCUUCAUUAAUUAUCUCACACAGCUCAUGCCAGCCAGGAACUCAGGAGUGGUGAGGAGAUUGGUUCCGGCUUGGCAUCUCUCAUGGGUUGCAGAUGCCAGCCAGGGCUGCGGUUAUCUGAAGAUGACAUUCUGGCAUACUCACGUGGUUGCUGAAGUCCUCAUUCAGAUUCACACACGAUCGACAACCUGAUUCUUCUCUUUCAUCAUCCACUUCCUAGUCUUCUGCUCCCAGUUCACUUUGAUCAGAGGCUACUGUCUCAACAUAGAUAAAGAGAAUCAUUUUGGAAGGACCUCAGAAAAAGGAGCUGCUGGGGUCCUCCUUUGUCUGCUGUGUUUACUUGUCCUAAUUGCCAAGACUCUGAAGAGGGGGAUGAAAACAAGAGAAGAUGUGAAGACAGCUUAUGAACUGGAGUAACCCUGGUCACAGGGAUGUAACAGGGGUUUUAGAAGGAGGGAGAGAUGCACUCAGCUCUCUCGCUAGGCUCAUCGGACUGAGAAGAUAUUUUUGGGUCCUUGUGUGAGUAUUUUCCCCUAAUAAACUACCAUUAUAAACC